Caenorhabditis elegans is the source of this 723-nucleotide RNA transcript. It is a transcript of the gene named Non-coding transcript of protein-coding gene K08D8.7b, with no coding region annotated. The transcript is spliced from 4 exons. The record is from RefSeq and is marked reviewed. Lineage: Eukaryota; Metazoa; Nematoda; Chromadorea; Rhabditida; Rhabditidae.
AUGUCAGCCCAAAACACACCUAACAAUACUCAUACUAUAGCUCUAAAUCUGGAUUCUCCACCAGCAUAUACUGAGCUGUCAUACCAAAUACUGCCACCAUCAUACACUGAAGCUUCUAGAAGAGUAGACUACCCACCGGUGCCUCCCGUGACCACACAAAUAAGACCGACACUUCUGAACGAGCGAGCUAAUUAUGUAAUCACUCAGUAGGACCAUAAAAAAUCCUAUACAACUCACUCUUUGCGUCUGGUCUUUGUCAUUACCGUUGUCAUUUUUAUUUGUGGAAUUGGAGCUUCCGUGUUCAUUUAGGUGUCAGGCUUUUUAAGUGGAUUUCACAGGCAUUUCCAAAUUAUGACUUCACAACCUACAUCAAGCAAUACUCCUACGAUACCAUUACGUCUGGAUGCCCCACCAGAAUACGCUAAACUAUCUCCUCAAAUACAUACCGUGCCGGCUCUGCCACCAGCAUAUACUGAAGCGUCUGGAAUAGUAGAUUACUCACCGAUGCAUCCCGUGGUACCACAAGUCAGAGCUGCAAGUCAAAAUGACCUAUCUAUAGAAUCAAUAGAAGACCUAUCUAUAGAAUCAAUAGAAGACCGAAGAAUUCGCAGGGCUCAAAGAGUUCAAAGAGCUGAAAGCAGAUUACCAAAAUCCCGAUGGACAUUGUGGUUUUUUGUUGGCCUAUUCAUAAUCAUCGUAAUAAUAAUUUUUCUUGCUGUCUAG